RNAcentral lists this ribosomal RNA (301 nucleotides) under uncultured bacterium. Its description in RNAcentral is "partial 16S ribosomal RNA". It matches the Rfam family "Bacterial small subunit ribosomal RNA", at positions 509 to 809 of the family's 1533-position model. The record is from RNAcentral.
CAGUAGCCACGGUAAUACGUAGGGUGCAAGCGUUAAUCGGAAUUACUGGGCGCAAAGCGUGCGCAGGCGGUUCGUUAAGACAGAUGUGAAAUCCCCGGGCUUAACCUGGGAACUGCAUUUGUGACUGGCGGGCUAGAGUAUGGCAGAGGGGGGUAGAAUUCCACGUGUAGCAGUGAAAUGCGUAGAGAUGUGGAGGAACACCGAUGGCGAAGGCAGCCCCCUGGGCCAAUACUGACGCUCAUGCACGAAAGCGUGGGGAGCAAACAGGAUUAGAUACCCCCGUAGUCCCUGUCUCUUAUAU